GGGGGGGGGGGGGGGGGGGGGGGGGGGGGGGGGGGGGGGGGGGGGGGGGGGGGGGGGGGCCCAGCUCCUCAGGAAUUCUCCAGCCCCUUCCCAGCUCCUCAGGAAUUCUCCAGUCCCUUCCCAGCUCCUCAGGGAUUCUCCAGCCCCUUCCCAGCUCCUCAGGGAUUCUCCAGCCACUUCCCAGCUCCUCAGGAAUUCUCCAGCCCCUUCCCAGCUCCUCAGGAAUUCUCCAGCCCCUUCCCAGCUCCCUCAGGAAUUCUCCAGCUCUGUUCCCUGCUCUGGACACUCUCCAGCCCCUCCAGGCCUUUCUUCUCAUGAGGUUUCCACAACUGGACACAGCCCCUGGGGUCCCUCACCGGUGCCCAGCACACUCAGGACAAUCCCAUCCCUCUCCUGCUCCCACACAAUUCCUGAUCCAUGCCAGGUGCCUUUGGCAUUCUUGGCCACCUGGGCUCACAGGAGUUUCUGGGAUGUCUCUGGAGGUCCUGAGGUCACUGUAGAAGCUGAAAACAGAAUUUUUGUUUUUGCUCAGUUUGGCUUUGUCUCUGUCUCGUGCACAGAACACGUGCAUCCCUCCCACCUCCCCCGCUGUGCUUGGCUGGUUCUCCUGGGCAGGGUGAAAAUGAGGGAACUGGUUCCUGAUGGGAGGCAGUGGGAGCAGCUCCCGUGGGUCCUGUGCCUCCAAUCAUCUGGCUCCUCCUUCUGCUGCUCCCUCAUUGAAACGUUAAAGGAGGUUUCAACCUUCUGGGCUGAGCUCAGAUUUGCUGGUAGGGUUGCAGGAAAUGCCUGGGAUGAGCAUUGCCAUUUUCUCUGGGCGGGUUUGGAGCUGCAGGCAGCAGCUGGUGCUGGGAAAGGCUCGUGGAGGAGCAGGAGCCUUUCUCCAUCUCAGCCAGGCUCUGGUGCUCCUCUUUCCCCGCUUUGGUUCUGUGCUGAUGGGAGCUGUGCCCUGGAGAACAUGGAAUUCCAGAGCCCUGGGAGCUGCACUUUAUUCCCAGUGCAGGUUCUGUGGGAUGUCACCAUCCAGAAUUCCAGAUCUGAGCUGGAAAUGCUGAACUAGAACCAUAAAUUUUCAUAUUUAACCUGCCUGAGAACUCCCAGUUGCUGCAGGAACCCCUGGGUGAUGAUCCCAGUGAUGAAAUCUCAUUGCUCCACCAUUCCAGAACCUCUUAGACCAAGAGCCACUCCCUGCCUCAUUUUUAGAGCUGGCUUAUCUUUGAGGGCAUCAAAAAGUUCCAAACGAGCUCAAAUUGUCCUUUUCUGGCUUUGAGGCAGCUUUGGUGGUUCUGAGAGGGCUUUAAAGAAGGAAGAGAAUAAAAAGCAGCCAAAACCCCUCAGCCACGUGUGCCUGGCGUUCAGCAGAAGUGAAAAUUGAGUCUGAGCCAGGCUGCAGGAGCCACCUGUGUGACAAAAGUGACCUCAGUGAGAGCUGUUGGGGUGGCAGACACGAAAAGGUCAUUGUAAAAAUAGAGAUGAUUGUGUUGUUCUGCUGCUGGGGGAAAAAAAAUAACAUUCCUGAAAAAGCCAAGGAAAAUAUCAGCUGGAAACGUUGGUUGCUGGUUUUCUCUGAGGAUUCCCAGAGCUUUUGAUCAAAUGUUGAUUGCGGGUUUUCUCUGAGGAUUCCCAGAGCUUUUGAUGGGAGCAGAAGUUGGGUUGUGUCACCCAGGAAGUUCAGCUCGUGGUUGGGAAGGUUUGGAUUCUGGGGUGGGAAGAUCAUUUUUAGCUGGGAUGGUGGGAAUGGGGGAGGUUUGUGGGAUCUCAGCUCUUCAUGGGCUUCCCACCUCCAAGCCCAGCUGGUGCAGAGUUUGUGGAGUCUCCAGCCUUGGGGAUCCCGUGUCCAGCUCUGGGGUCAGCAGGGACAGGAGCUCCUGGAUCUGCUCCAGGGCAGGGAUGUGAGGAUGAGGAAGGGCUGCAGCAUCUCC
This is a long non-coding RNA of Ficedula albicollis (Collared flycatcher), 1919 nucleotides long. The record is from Ensembl. NCBI's taxonomy places the organism in Eukaryota, Metazoa, Chordata, Aves, Passeriformes, Muscicapidae.